RNAcentral lists this ribosomal RNA (301 nucleotides) under uncultured bacterium. RNAcentral's name for it is "partial 16S ribosomal RNA". It matches the Rfam family "Bacterial small subunit ribosomal RNA", at positions 509 to 808 of the family's 1533-position model. The record is from RNAcentral.
CAGCCGCCGCGGUAAUACGUAGGUGGCAAGCGUUGUCCGGAAUUAUUGGGCGUAAAGGGCUCGCAGGCGGUUUCUUAAGUCUGAUGGGAAAGCCCCCGGCUCAACCGGGGAGGGUCAUUGGAAACUGGAAACUUGAGUGCAGAAGAGGAGAGUGGAAUUCCACGUGUAGCGGUGAAAUGCGUAGAGAUGUGGAGGAACACCAGCGGCGAAGGCGACUCUCUGGUCUGUAACUGACGCUGAGGAGCGAAAGCGUGGGGAGCGAACAGGAUUAGAUACCCCGGUAGUCCCUGUCUCUUAUACA